UUGAAGUUCAGGUAACACUGAAUGGAGGACCGAACCGACUUACGUUGAAAAGUGAGCGGAUGAACUGAGGGUAGCGGAGAAAUUCCAAUCGAACCUGGAGAUAGCUGGUUCUCUCCGAAAUAGCUUUAGGGCUAGCCUCAAGUGAUGAUUAUUGGAGGUAGAGCACUGUUUGGACGAGGGGCCCCUCUCGGGUUACCGAAUUCAGACAAACUCCGAAUGCCAAUUAAUUUAACUUGGGAGUCAGAACAUGGGUGAUAAGGUCCGUGUUCGAAAGGGAAACAGCCCAGACCACCAGCUAAGGUCCCAAAAUAUAUGUUAAGUGGAAAAGGAUGUGGCGUUGCCCAGACAACUAGGAUGUUGGCUUAGAAGCAGCCAUCAUUUAAAGAGUGCGUAAUAGCUCACUAGUCGAGUGACACUGCGCCGAAAAUGUACCGGGGCUAAACAUAUUACCGAAGCUGUGGAUUGUCCUUUGGACAAUGGUAGGAGAGCGUUCUAAGGGCGUUGAAGCAUGAUCGUAAGGACAUGUGGAGCGCUUAGAAGUGAGAAUGCCGGUGUGAGUAGCGAAAGACGGGUGAGAAUCCCGUCCACCGAUUGACUAAGGUUUCCAGAGGAAGGCUCGUCCGCUCUGGGUUAGUCGGGUCCUAAGCUGAGGCCGACAGGCGUAGGCGAUGGAUAACAGGUUGAUAUUCCUGUACCACCUAUAAUCGUUUUAAUCGAUGGGGGGACGCAGUAGGAUAGGCGAAGCGUGCGAUUGGAUUGCACGUCUAA
RNAcentral lists this ribosomal RNA (768 nucleotides) under Staphylococcus aureus. Its description in RNAcentral is "partial 23S ribosomal RNA". It matches the Rfam family "Bacterial large subunit ribosomal RNA", at positions 745 to 1515 of the family's 2925-position model. The record is from RNAcentral. Lineage: Bacteria; Bacillati; Bacillota; Bacilli; Caryophanales; Staphylococcaceae.